Molecule: ribosomal RNA, 383 nt
Filed under: uncultured eukaryote
Lineage: Eukaryota
Description: partial 18S ribosomal RNA
Rfam family: Eukaryotic small subunit ribosomal RNA
Source: RNAcentral
UGUAAGCGUAUACCAAAGUUGUUGCAGUUAAAAAGCUCGUAGUUGGAUUUCUGGUAGGAGUGACCGUUCCGAACUUGAUUGUUCGUGUAUUGUGUUUUCUCCAGCCAUCCUUGUGGAGAACUUUUCUUGCAUUAAUUUGUAGGGAUUGGGACCCGCAUCGUUUACUGUGAAAAAAUUAGAGUGUUUAAAGCAGGCAAUCGCUUGAAUACAUUAGCAUGGAAUAAUAAGAUAGGACUUUGGUACUAUUUUGUUGGUUUGCAUACCAAAUUAAUGAUCAACAGGAACAGUUUGAGGAUAUUCGUAUGAACAUGUCAGAGGUGAAAUUCUUGGAUUUUGAUCAGACGAACUACUGCGAAAGCAUUUAGCAAGGAUGUUUUCAUUAA